CGGACUGACCCUCAACAGCGUGCUGAGGACACACAGGUUCUUACGGAGCCACCAGCCACUGGGCUGGCCACAGCCGUGCCCACCCCCAUCCCAUGGAAAUAGAAUGCAGUGAUUUAUGCCAGGGACAGAGCUUGGAACCCUUGCUGCAGCCAUUUCUUACCUGGAACAUGUACUCAGGGAUACAAUUAUUUCUGCGACACAGAUUGAAGUUGCCUUUUUAGUUUAAAAUGCAUACCAUCAAGGUGAACGUAAGAACUGGACGGAUUCUGAUAUUCCCUCAUCACCUACAGUGAAGAUGUUGGAUCCCUUGCUCAUGCAAAGAUUGUGACAGUCUCCCUUCCGCACCCAUCAUAUACGGUGGAGAUGGCGCUUCUCAUGCUGUGUCACUGUGUCAGAAUGACCUGGAGAAGCUAUUAAAAUAGGGACCCAGUGCCCAGAUAUCAGCAAUCCUGAUUCUCCAGGGUUAGCAGAGGACAGAGGUUGUUCAUUUAAGAAGGUCUCAGGUGAAACUAGCUCUACUGAACGAACAGACGAGCCCCUUUCUAUGGCCAAGACAACCGGAAUAUUUCCUUGCCCAUCCCUGGUUUAAAAAGCCAAGAUCUCCUGGGCAGCCUGCCAUUCUUUGCUGUGAUGACUAUGAAGAAGCAGCCCAUGCAACUGUUCGAUACCUAUCCCUGUCACUUUCAAGUCUGCUGUUCAAAUCCUGCAAUAGACCAGUGGAAAAGACACAGUCAGAUGUCCUACAGUGUGGUGUGUUGUGGCUUCAAUGGGGAAAACCACAUGACUCUUCCUAUAAACUGAUUAAAAUGUUUUCUUUCUUUCAUAA
Molecule: long non-coding RNA, 826 nt
Organism: Mastomys coucha (southern multimammate mouse)
Lineage: Eukaryota; Metazoa; Chordata; Mammalia; Rodentia; Muridae
Exons: 3
Source: RefSeq, a predicted model, not a curated record